UAAUACGUAGGGUGCAAGCGUUAAUCGGAAUUACUGGGCGUAAAGCGUGCGCAGGCGGUUGUGCAAGACAGAUGUGAAAUCCCCGGGCUUAACCUGGGAAUUGCAUUUGUGACUGCACGGCUAGAGUGUGUCAGAGGGGGGUAGAAUUCCACGUGUAGCAGUGAAAUGCGUAGAGAUGUGGAGGAAUACCGAUGGCGAAGGCAGCCCCCUGGGAUAACACUGACGCUCAUGCACGAAAGCGUGGGGAGCAAACAG
Molecule: ribosomal RNA, 255 nt
Filed under: uncultured prokaryote
Description: partial 16S ribosomal RNA
Rfam family: Bacterial small subunit ribosomal RNA
Source: RNAcentral